UGAGACACGGCCCAGACUCUACGGGAAGCAGCAGUGGGGAUCUGCACAAUGGCGGAAGCUGAUGCAGCGACGCCGCGUGAGGGAUGACGGCCUUCGGGUUGUAAACCUCUUUCAGUUGGGACGAAGCCCUUCGGGGUGACGGUACCUUCAGAAGAAGCACCGGCUAACUACGUGCCAGCAGCCGCGGUAAUACGUAGGGUGCGAGCGUUAUCCGGAAUUAUUGGGCGUAAAGAGCUCGUAGGCGGUUUGUCACGUCUGCUGUGAAAGCUCGGGGCUUAACCUCGAGUUUGCAGUGGGUACGGGCAGGCUAGAGUGCAGUAGGGGAGACUGGAAUUCCUGGUGUAGCGGUGAAAUGCGCAGAUAUCAGGAGGAACACCGAUGGCGAAGGCAGGUCUCUGGGCUGUUACUGACGCUGAGGAGCGAAAGCAUGGGGAGCGAACAGGAUUAGAUACCCUGGUAGUCCAUGCCGUAAACGUUGGGCACUAGGUGUGGGGAACAUUUCCACGUUUUCCGCGCCGUAGCUAACGCAUUAAGUGCCCCGCCUGGGGAGUACGGCCGCAAGGCUAAAACUCAAAGGAAUUGACGGGGGCCCGCACAAGCGGCGGAGCAUGCGGAUUAAUUCGAUACAACGCGAAGAACCUUACCAAGGCUUGACAUGCACUAGAUCGCCCUAGAGAUAGGGUUUCCCUUCGGGGCUGGUGUACAGGUGGUGCAUGGUUGUCGUCAGCUCGUGUCGUGAGAUGUUGGGUUAAGUCCCGCAACGAGCGGAACCCCUAUUCUAUGUUGCCAGCAAUUCGGUUGGGGACUCAUGGAAGACUGCCGGGGUCAACUCGGAGGAAGGUGGGGACGACGUCAAAUCAUCAUGCCCCUUAUGUCUUGGGCUUCACGCAUGCUACAAUGGCCGGCACAAUGGGUUGCGAGACUGUGAGGUUGAGCUAAUCCCAUAAAACCGGUCUCAGUUCGGAUUGGGGUCUGCAACUCGACCCCAUGAAGUCGGAGUCGCUAGUAAUCGCAGAUCAGCACG
RNAcentral lists this ribosomal RNA (1024 nucleotides) under uncultured bacterium. RNAcentral's name for it is "bacterial SSU rRNA". It matches the Rfam family "Bacterial small subunit ribosomal RNA", at positions 320 to 1356 of the family's 1533-position model. The record is from RNAcentral.